AGGCGUGAUUUCUUUUUUAUUUUAAUUUUAUUUCAUUCAUUUCUUCUCGAGGAGCUUCGUUUUAAUAAAAGAAAAACAAUUUUCCCAUCAAUAACUACAUCAAGAAAUCCAUUUUUAUCCUCGUCACAAAUGUCACAGCCAAGAAUAUUUACUGGUCUUGGACAAAUCAUGAAUAAACUUUUAGAACUUAAAAUAAGUCGCCAUUUCGACAAAAAUUUCUGGCGUUAUCUGGAGAUGAACCCUACCAUGGUUUCUUAUCCGAGGAGCAGCCAAGACCAUCAACUGCUCAAAAUUGAGGAAGGAGUUGACGAACGUAUUAAAAAUCUCGAAUUACUUACAAAUUCUGGUAAAAUGAAAACGCUGGUCAAAAUGGAAACAUUCAUGAAGCGACUCGACGCAAGAAGAAUUAUGGCUGGUUGUUUUGACUAUUAAAAAUUUUAAAACAAAUUUCACAUGUACCAAAUAUUUGACUUUUUUCUCGCGUAAUAUAAUCAUGUCGUCUGCUCUCGUUUUUAAAAAGGCGACGCACACAUCUUUAAAUAAAUUUGCUAGUCAGUCUCAAACUUA
This is a long non-coding RNA of Folsomia candida, 567 nucleotides long. RefSeq lists it as uncharacterized. Lineage: Eukaryota; Metazoa; Arthropoda; Collembola; Entomobryomorpha; Isotomidae. The record is from RefSeq and is a predicted model, not a curated record. The transcript has 2 exons.